RNAcentral lists this ribosomal RNA (253 nucleotides) under uncultured bacterium. RNAcentral's name for it is "partial 16S ribosomal RNA". It matches the Rfam family "Bacterial small subunit ribosomal RNA", at positions 524 to 776 of the family's 1533-position model. The record is from RNAcentral.
UACGAAGGGGGCUAGCGUUGCUCGGAAUCACUGGGCGUAAAGCGCACGUAGGCGGAUUGCUAAGUCAGGGGUGAAAUCCUGGAGCUCAACUCCAGAACUGCCCUUGAUACUGGCGAUCUCGAGUCCGGGAGAGGUGAGUGGAACUGCGAGUGUAGAGGUGAAAUUCGUAGAUAUUCGCAAGAACACCAGUGGCGAAGGCGGCUCACUGGCCCGGUACUGACGCUGAGGUGCGAAAGCUAGGGGAGCGAACAGG